Molecule: long non-coding RNA, 3262 nt
Organism: Homo sapiens (human)
Lineage: Eukaryota; Metazoa; Chordata; Mammalia; Primates; Hominidae
Source: Ensembl
GAACCUCAAGCCAGGCAUUCUCAGUGUCUUGUUCUGAGGAAGGGAAAUGCAGAGCAGCUGCCAGGCCAGGUCUGUCUUUAGCCCUCUGCUUCCCUCUAUUCACAUAGGGGAAGCUGUACCAGAGCCCUGGCUUAUGAUCUGAAGGAAACAAUACUGUCACUGAGAUAGGAUUGAUGGGGCAUUUUCCUCCUGGAAGUGCUGAUCCAUGAAUCAUUUCCAAGCAAACCACCCAUGGCAUCCCCAUUCCCUCUACUCUCUCCUCCUCCCUUCUUUCUUAUAUCCUACCACCCCCAGCUGACAUCUAGCCUAGGCCUCUAACUCUGUCCACCCCUGGGCUUGACCCCACACUGGACAGCUUCUCUGGCCACAGCUAGAAUAGCCAUGAGUUGCACCUGCGGGCCCUCCCACCACACUUACUGCUCUGUCACCUCCUUCUCAUUUCCCCAGAGGGGCUGCAGUGGGGUGAGAGCCCUGCAUUAGAAAGCCAAAGGGCCUGGGUCUGAAUCUGAACUUUACCAAUCACCGGGCAGGAAAUUCAAGUCAUGCAUGUAAACCCCUUAGCACAGUGCCCGGCACACAGAGCAGUUCUUACGUGUCAGAAUGGGUUUCUCUCCCUCCUCCUUCCCUCUUCAUCUAUCUGGGAUAGUGAGGCAGCCCCUUCCUUAAGGGGCACAGGAAGUACCCGCAGGAUUGUGAACCUGGUUAUGUCUGCAAAUGCCACCCCAAGGCCACUUUCCUCCUCUCCCCAACCAUUGCAGGAUCCACAGCAGGCUGCAUUAGGGGUUCCAGAUGCAGCCAAGGACGGAGAGCCUACUCAGGAGGAGGAAGGAGUGAGAAUAAAAGGACGUGGGUCUGAGGGGACCAGGGAAAAGACACAGAAGUCAAGAGAAGCGGUUCUUCUGAUCAACCCGCUGGAGGAGAAGGGAGAUGGUGCUGGUGGCCUUGAGAAUCAAGGGCUGAGAACCCAGGCUUGAUGCAGAGAGCUUGGUGAGGAGUCAGCAGCCAACUAAACUGGCUGCUUGAAUCCUACAGCUGGUGACAGUGGAACUGGAUAUGGUGUGCAUGUAUGUGAUUCUCAGAAACCAGCAAAGGAGACGGUGCAUUCCAGGGAGACGCUGAGGGUGUCACCCAAUAGGGAUCUACAGCUGUUGAUUUUCAGAUGUGCUCCACAGACCCCCUGGGGGUUCCAUGGACGCCACCAGGAGCAGUCGACUACUUUUGGGCCCAGGUUUGAGGGUCGUGAAACAGGGCAAUUCCACUUUGACAACUUUUACACUGGAACAUCCAUGUUAGGUUUCUUCUGGAGAAAGCACUUUGGCUAAAUCAGUCAGAAUGGCCCGGAACUAGGUAGCCUCCAUGUGUGCCUAUUUCAGGAAAGAGCAGACAUCACUCAGCUUUCCAUAUGGAAGGGGGUCGAGAUGGCUUAAGCUGACACAGGGAAACGAGGAGGACAGGAUCUUGUCUGUGCAGCCAGGCCUCCCGGGAACCUAGGGGAAGAAGAGUCACCAGGCGCCAGUGUUGGGAGUGCAGCAUGGCCAAGUUGCUGGGAGGCGAAAGUGAAACGUGUUUAGGGUUAAAGGAGGCCAGAGGACUCAGCAGCAGAAGCUGAGCACACGGCUUCAGUCUAGUGACUUCACAACUCUCUCCACCUCCGCCUCCCCCGGGGGUGCUUCUCUUUUCUCCCCCUUUCUCUCUUCCAACUGGCUAAUUAUCACUAGACUUCCCCAUUCAAAUUCCUGGGAAACAUGGCCAGGGCCUGUCAUCAGCUUUCCUUGGUCUUUUUACUUGUGGCACAAUCCUGUGGCUCAGAAUGCAACCAAUCCCGUGCCAGGAGAACCCUGGGGCUCCCAACCCCAGCAGAGGCUGUAGAGGUGCCACAGAUUCCCUUGGAAGGGCAGCAGGUGAUAUAAGCAACUGGGAUGUCCUGUCUGUGAGGCUUCCCAGGCAUCGUGACUGACCUGCCUGAAGGCCUGGCUGGCAUUGUGCUGGCCUACCUAGGACAUUCAACUGUUUGCUUGCCAGGCUCUCAAGGCCUUCUUCCUCUUGAUGCAGUUCCAACAAUGUCCCUACCUACCACAGCCUAUUUCACAUGCAGAUGCUGGUGCACACACCCCCUCAGCCGCUGGUUGGUAGGAUCCAUAAGUGAUGGUGCGGGACUACAUUAUUAUUUUAUCUUAUAUAAUCAUGCACCCCAUAAUGACAUUUUGGUCAACAAUGAAGUAUAUACACAAUGGUAGUCCCAUGAGAUCAUAAUGGAGCUAAAAAAUCCCUAUCAUCUAGUGAUGCCAUAGCCAUUAUAACAUCGCAGUCCAACACAUUACCUUGUCUAUGUUUGGAUUCACAAAUACUUGCCUUUGUGUUAUAAUUGCCUACAGUAUUCAGUACAGUAACAUGUUGUACAGGUUUGUGUCUAGGAGCAAUGGGCCUAUAUAGCAAUAGGACCAUAUAGCCUAGGGGUACAGCAGGCUAUACCAUCAAGGUUUGUCUAAGUACGUGCUAUGAUGUUUGUACAAUGAUGAAAUUGCCUAAGGACGCAUUUCUCGGAAUGUAUCCCCAUUAUUUAAUUUUAUUUAAUUUAAUUUAAUUUUAGAGAUGGAGUCUUGCUCUGUUGCCCAGGCUGGAGUGCAGUGGCGCGAUCUCAGCUCACUGCAAGCUCCGCCUCCCGGGUUCGAGCCAUUCUCCUGCCUCAGCCUCCUGAGUAGGUGGGACUACAGGUGCCCGCCACAAUGCCCGGCUAAUUUUUUGUAUUUUUAGUAGAGACGGGGUUUCACUGUAUUAGCCAGGAUGGUCUCGAUCUCCUGACCUCGUGAUCCACCCGCCUCAGCCUCCCAAAGUGCUGGGAUAACAGGUGUGAGCCACCGUGCCUGGCCGUAUCCCCAUUGUUAAGUGAUGCAUGACUAUAUGAUUCUGAUUACCAAAGUAAUAUAUGUUGGAUGUGCAAAAGUAAAACUGUAUAGAAAAAAAUUAUGUAGAAAGAAAAAGUGCUCCCUAAUUAAACCCAUAGUCGAUAAAUUCAACAGGUUUGUGAAUGUAUCUUCAGAGUUUUUCUAGACAUUUACUUACUUAUUAUUUUUCAGAGGUGGGGUCUCACUAUGUUGCCCAGGCUAGAGUGCUGUGGCUAUUCACAGGUGUGAUCAUAGGCACACAACCAGCCUCGAACUCCAGGCCUCAGGUGAUCCUCCUACCGCAGUCUCCUGAGUAGCUGGGACUGUAGGCAUGCACCACUGCACCCAGCUUCUAGGCAUUUAACAAUGUGUGCAUA